GUGCCAGCAGCCGCGGUAAUACAGAGGGUGCGAGCGUUGUCCGGAAUCACUGGGCGUAAAGGGCGCGUAGGUGGCCUGAUAAGUAGGGGGUGAAAUCUCGAGGCUCAACUUCGAGGCUGCCUCCUAAACUGUCAGGCUUGAGCAGAGUAGAGGCAGGUGGAAUUCCCGGUGUAGCGGUGGAAUGCGUAGAGAUCGGGAAGAACAUCGGUGGCGAAGGCGGCCUGCUGGGCUCUUGCUGACACUGAGGCGCGACAGCGUGGGGAGCAAACAGGAUUAGAUACCCUCGUAGUCC
RNAcentral lists this ribosomal RNA (292 nucleotides) under uncultured bacterium. RNAcentral describes it as "partial 16S ribosomal RNA". It matches the Rfam family "Bacterial small subunit ribosomal RNA", at positions 505 to 796 of the family's 1533-position model. The record is from RNAcentral.